GACGAACGCUGGCGGCGUGCUUAACACAUGCAAGUCGAACGGAAAGGCCCUGCUUUGGUGGGGUGCUCGAGUGGCGAACGGGUGAGUAACACGUGAGUAACCUGCCCUUGACUUUGGGAUAACUUCAGGAAACUUGGUCUAAUACCGGAUAGGAGCUCCUGCUGCAGGGUGGGGGUUGGAAAGUUUCGGCGGUUGGGGAUGGACUCGCGGCUUAUCAGCUUGUUGGUGGGGUAGUGGCUUACCAAGGCUUUGACGGGUAGCCGGCCUGAGAGGGUGACCGGCCACAUUGGGACUGAGAUACGGCCCAGACUCCUACGGGAGGCAGCAGUGGGGAAUAUUGCACAAUGGGCGGAAGCCUGAUGCAGCAACGCCGCGUGCGGGAUGACGGCCUUCGGGUUGUAAACCGCUUUCGCCUGUGACGAAGCGUGAGUGACGGUAAUGGGUAAAGAAGCACCGGCUAACUACGUG
RNAcentral lists this ribosomal RNA (468 nucleotides) under uncultured bacterium. RNAcentral's name for it is "partial 16S ribosomal RNA". It matches the Rfam family "Bacterial small subunit ribosomal RNA", at positions 28 to 507 of the family's 1533-position model. The record is from RNAcentral.